CCUACGGGCGGCAGCAGUGAGGAAUAUUGGUCAAUGGACGAGAGUCUGAACCAGCCAAGUAGCGUGAAGGAUGACUGCCCUAUGGGUUGUAAACUUCUUUUAUAUGGGAAUAAAAUGUUCCACGUGUGGGAUUUUGUAUGUACCAUAUGAAUAAGGAUCGGCUAACUCCGUGCCAGCAGCCGCGGUAAUACGGAGGAUCCGAGCGUUAUCCGGAUUUAUUGGGUUUAAAGGGAGCGUAGGUGGAUUGUUAAGUCAGUUGUGAAAGUUUGCGGCUCAACCGUAAAAUUGCAGUUGAAACUGGCAGUCUUGAGUACAGUAGAGGUGGGCGGAAUUCGUGGUGUAGCGGUGAAAUGCUGAGAUAUCACGAAGAACUCCGAUUGCGAAGGCAGUUCACUGGACUGCAACUGACACUGAGGCUCGAAAGUGUGGGUAUCAAACAGGAUUAGAUACCCCAGUAGUC
This 460-nucleotide ribosomal RNA is filed under the name uncultured bacterium. RNAcentral's name for it is "partial 16S ribosomal RNA". It matches the Rfam family "Bacterial small subunit ribosomal RNA", at positions 338 to 795 of the family's 1533-position model. The record is from RNAcentral.